RNAcentral lists this unclassified non-coding RNA (146 nucleotides) under soil metagenome. RNAcentral's name for it is "partial internal transcribed spacer 1". The record is from RNAcentral.
CCGAGUUUACAACUCCCAAACCCCUGUGAACAUACCUUAUGUUGCCUCGGCGGAUCAGCCCGCGCCCCGUAAAACGGGACGGCCCGCCGCAGGAAACCCUAAACUCUGUUUUUAGUGGAACUUCUGAGUAUAAAAACAAAUAAUCA